RNAcentral lists this ribosomal RNA (429 nucleotides) under Fusobacteriota bacterium. RNAcentral's name for it is "Fusobacteria bacterium partial 16S ribosomal RNA". It matches the Rfam family "Bacterial small subunit ribosomal RNA", at positions 355 to 776 of the family's 1533-position model. Lineage: Bacteria; Fusobacteriati; Fusobacteriota. The record is from RNAcentral.
UGGGGAAUAUUGCGCAAUGGGCGAAAGCCUUACGCAGCGACGCCGCGUGUGGGAUGAAGGUUUUCGGAUCGUAAACCUCUUUCAGAAGGGAAGAAACCGCACUGUGCUAAUCAGCAGUGCCUUGACGGUACCUUCAAAGGAAGCACCGGCUAACUCCGUGCCAGCAGCCGCGGUAAUACGGAGGGUGCAAGCGUUAAUCGGAAUUACUGGGCGUAAAGCGCACGUAGGCUGUUUUGUAAGUCAGGGGUGAAAUCCCACGGCUCAACCGUGGAACUGCCUUGGAUACUGCAUAGCUUGAAUCCGGGAGAGGGUGGAGGAAUUCCAGGUGUAGGAGUGAAAUCCGUAGAGAUCUGGAGGAACACCAGUGGCGAAGGCGGCCACCUGGACCGGUAUUGACGCUGAGGGGCGAAAGCGUGGGGAGCAAAAAGG